RNAcentral lists this transfer RNA (74 nucleotides) under Nematostella vectensis (starlet sea anemone). It matches the Rfam family "tRNA". Rfam says of the family: Transfer RNA (tRNA) molecules are approximately 80 nucleotides in length. The record is from Rfam by way of RNAcentral. Lineage: Eukaryota; Metazoa; Cnidaria; Anthozoa; Actiniaria; Edwardsiidae.
GGCCCUAUAGCUCAGUUGGUCAGAGCAGCGGACUCAUAAUCCGUUGGUCCCAGGUUCAAGUCCUGGUGGGGCCA